CCGUCCUGGGCUAAGAUUCUGGAAGCCUCAGCUUUCUGAGGGUCUAACAACAGGGCCCAUGUGGAGGCUGAAUGUGACUGCAGGCUGAUGUAACAACUUGCCUGAGAAGUGAUCAGAUUUGGAACUGAAUUGUGGCCAAGAGAAAAGGAAUCACUGAUGCCUGUGGCCACACUCCGCAAGCAUGGUUGCUGCUCCCGAGACCUUCUCACACACCUCGUGUCUGGGGAAGCACGUGACCCACGAAGGCACAGCUGCUUCUAUAUCCAUGGGAAAACCACACAAGGGAUGAGAUGAAGCGUCUGUUUAAUUGGCCUGUGAACUCUCACAACCUGUUUUUCGGCUCUUCUCUGUUUUAUAAGCAUCUGGAAAAGCCAUCUCCUGAUGUCACCCUCAGGCCUGGACAUGCCUAUUGCUCUGUCAUUUGUACAGGCCCCUGUGGAUGGCUCUCGGUUGGUUCAUCAAAAAAGGUGAAAACAGGACAUUGGUUUAUGCCAGCCAAUAGGUUUAGGCAUGUGGUAUCAAGAGAGACAAGGUCGCUAACAGCCAAGUGAACUCUGGUAUAAAGGAGAACUCAGUGUCCGUGUGUUCCCCAGCAAGUUCAGGGACAGGAUGCUGGGAGGAAGAAUGACAGGAGACAACUUGAAAGAGAAUGGGGGUUCUCAUGUAGGGAGGUAGCUCUGACGCAGGCUCGGGCUUUCCCUCAAAAUGUAAUUUUCUGAACAUGAGAGUUUGAUUGACAAUAUGAGACUUGAGACCCAAGCAUAGAAGGACUGGAGGAGGAAGUGGGCUCCAUGUUUAAUCUUCCUGUGAUGACUUAAAGCUGCCAGUGACAGUGACAGUGUUAGCCGCCAUCACAGUAAAUAAACUUACUACACAAAAGGGAACAGUAACUCAAUAUUCUGUGGGUUUCUCGUUAAAAAUAAAUAAAGUGGCCAAGCAUGGUGUCGGAACACAGUCCAGGAAUGGAGCCAUGUGAGGAGGAUUCUGAGCGCUUGUGAGAACAUUCCAAGAAAACAAGUCUUGUGACCUCAGUUUCUUCAAAGCAUGGACUUGUUCUUGGAAUGUGUUUUUGUGCUCCUCCCAGGUGUAGCGAUAGCAGUGAGUUUACUUCAGAUUACUCAUUAUUGCUUGGUGCUCUUAUUCAAUUAAAUGUUUAACUAUCCUUUAUAUGCCUGUAUGGAAAAACAUGUUUUUUGUUUGUUUGUUUGUUUUUGCCACAAGUGGCUUGUUCUUAUGAUUAUAUACCGCAUGAACUCAUGGGAACUUUACCCAUGCGAUUUCUUUUCUUAACCCUCAGAGUAUAAACUGUCUGAGGCUCUGAAUAAAGUUGGCUAUUGUAUGAGA
Cricetulus griseus (Chinese hamster) is the source of this 1344-nucleotide non-coding RNA. Lineage: Eukaryota; Metazoa; Chordata; Mammalia; Rodentia; Cricetidae. The record is from RefSeq and is a predicted model, not a curated record.